UUGAACGCAUAUUGCGCAUCGGACGUUUCAACCCGACCGAUGCACACAUCCUUGAGU
Molecule: ribosomal RNA, 57 nt
Filed under: Anopheles philippinensis
Lineage: Eukaryota; Metazoa; Arthropoda; Insecta; Diptera; Culicidae
Description: partial 5.8S ribosomal RNA
Source: RNAcentral